AAUUUUAAUGGCCGCGGUAUUUUGACCGUGCAAAGGUAGCAUAAUCAUUAGUUCAUUAAUUGUGGACUUGUAUGAAUGGUUGGACGAAAUAUUAACUGUCUCAUAUUAAUAUAUAUAAUUUAAAUUUUGAGUUAAAAUGCUUAAAUUUUUUUAUAGGACGAGAAGACCCUAUAGAUCUUUAUUUUUUAUUUUAUUAUUUUUUUUUGUUUAUUUUUUUAAUAAUAUUAUAAUUUAUUUUGUUGGGGUGACAUGGAGAUAUAUUUAACUCUUUAUUUUUUUAAUUCAAUAAUUUUUGUAUAAUUGACCUUUUAUUAUUGUUAUAAGAUAUAGAUACCUUAGGGAUAACAGCGUAAUUUUUUUUGAGAGUUCUUAUCGACAAAGGAGAUUGCGACCUCGAUGUUGGAUUAAGAUUAUUAUUAGGUGUAGAAGCUUAAUUAUAUAAGUCUGUUCGACUUUUAAAUUCUUACAUGAUCUGAGUU
RNAcentral lists this ribosomal RNA (479 nucleotides) under Necrosciinae sp. 9 SB-2021. RNAcentral's name for it is "partial large subunit ribosomal RNA". The stretch from base 341 to 479 matches the Rfam family "Bacterial large subunit ribosomal RNA", at positions 2473 to 2611 of the family's 2925-position model. Lineage: Eukaryota; Metazoa; Arthropoda; Insecta; Phasmatodea; Lonchodidae. The record is from RNAcentral.